This 211-nucleotide ribosomal RNA is filed under the name uncultured bacterium. Its description in RNAcentral is "partial 16S ribosomal RNA". It matches the Rfam family "Bacterial small subunit ribosomal RNA", at positions 30 to 243 of the family's 1533-position model. The record is from RNAcentral.
AUUGAACGCUGGCGGCAGGCCUAACACAUGCAAGUCGAGCGGUAACAGGGGUAGCUUGCUACCCGCUGACGAGCGGCGGACGGGUGAGUAAUGCAUAGGAAUCUGCCCGAUAGUGGGGGAUAACCUGGGGAAACCCAGGCUAAUACCGCAUACGUCCUACGGGAGAAAGGGGGCUCCGGCUCCCGCUAUUGGAUGAGCCUAUGUCGGAUUA